RNAcentral lists this ribosomal RNA (440 nucleotides) under uncultured bacterium. RNAcentral describes it as "partial 16S ribosomal RNA". It matches the Rfam family "Bacterial small subunit ribosomal RNA", at positions 338 to 795 of the family's 1533-position model. The record is from RNAcentral.
CCUACGGUGAGCUGCAGUGGGGGAUAUUGCACAAUGGGGGAAACCCUGAUGCAGCGACGCCGCGUGUGGGAAGGCGGUCCUCUGGAUUGUAAACCACUGUCCCCAGGGACGAAGAUGACGGUACCUGGGGAGGAAGCUCCGGCUAACUACGUGCCAGCAGCCGCGGUAAUACGUAGGGAGCGAGCGUUGUCCGGAAUUACUGGGUGUAAAGGGAGCGUAGGCGGGACUGCAAGUUGGGGGUAAAAUCUACCGGCUCAACCGGUAGCCGCACUCAAAACUGCAGUUCUUGAGUGAAGUAGAGGCAGGCGGAAUUCCUAGUGUAGCGGUGAAAUGCGUAGAUAUUAGGAGGAACACCAGUGGCGAAGGCGGCCUGCUGGGCUUUUACUGACGCUGAGGCUCGAAAGUGUGGGGAGCAAACAGGAUUAGAUACCCUAGUAGUC